Molecule: ribosomal RNA, 800 nt
Filed under: Arthrobacter sp.
Lineage: Bacteria; Bacillati; Actinomycetota; Actinomycetes; Micrococcales; Micrococcaceae
Description: bacterial SSU rRNA
Rfam family: Bacterial small subunit ribosomal RNA
Source: RNAcentral
GCACCGGGGAUUAGUGGCGAACGGGUGAGUAACACGUGAGUAACCUGCCCUUAACUCUGGGAUAAGCCUGGGAAACUGGGUCUAAUACCGGAUAUGACUCCUCAUCGCAUGGUGGGGGGUGGAAAGCUUUAUUGUGGUUUUGGAUGGACUCGCGGCCUAUCAGCUUGUUGGUGAGGUAAUGGCUCACCAAGGCGACGACGGGUAGCCGGCCUGAGAGGGUGACCGGCCACACUGGGACUGAGACACGGCCCAGACUCCUACGGGAGGCAGCAGUGGGGAAUAUUGCACAAUGGGCGCAAGCCUGAUGCAGCGACGCCGCGUGAGGGAUGACGGCCUUCGGGUUGUAAACCUCUUUCAGUAGGGAAGAAGCGAAAGUGACGGUACCUGCAGAAGAAGCGCCGGCUAACUACGUGCCAGCAGCCGCGGUAAUACGUAGGGCGCAAGCGUUAUCCGGAAUUAUUGGGCGUAAAGAGCUCGUAGGCGGUUUGUCGCGUCUGCCGUGAAAGUCCGGGGCUCAACUCCGGAUCUGCGGUGGGUACGGGCAGACUAGAGUGAUGUAGGGGAGACUGGAAUUCCUGGUGUAGCGGUGAAAUGCGCAGAUAUCAGGAGGAACACCGAUGGCGAAGGCAGGUCUCUGGGCAUUAACUGACGCUGAGGAGCGAAAGCAUGGGGAGCGAACAGGAUUAGAUACCCUGGUAGUCCAUGCCGUAAACGUUGGGCACUAGGUGUGGGGGACAUUCCACGUUUUCCGCGCCGUAGCUAACGCAUUAAGUGCCCCGCCUGGGGAGUACGGCCGCAAG